Molecule: long non-coding RNA, 902 nt
Organism: Homarus americanus (American lobster)
Lineage: Eukaryota; Metazoa; Arthropoda; Malacostraca; Decapoda; Nephropidae
Exons: 2
Source: RefSeq, a predicted model, not a curated record
UCUGCACAUAGAACUACAUCAUUAAUACCAUGGGCCGAUUUUUCAAACUCAAAAAAAAAAAUUCGCCUCCGUAUGACACACCCUAUUACAGUAAGUCUUCCAUAAACUAUGGAAUUCCGAAAACUUCAGCAUUGUAAUACUGUUCACUUUAUUUCAGACAUAAAGGUGAGAGUGGACGGAUGUAAGAAAGGACCGUUAUGGUAACAUCAGGAGGCCAUCCCACACAAACAUCUCCCACCACAACUUAGUAUUAAAGCUCUAUAAAACAAGAGGCAGAACAAUUCCUCACAGCUGUGCAAUAAGUCAGUACAGUAUGAGGAUUAAAGAACAUUUUUCCGAGAACAUUGUAACCAUAAUUAAGAUACCACGCGAGCGUCAGCCAUUACCACCACUGUGAGGAACGCACCAUGUGGGGAACGCACCAUGUGGGGUGCGUCUGCUCACCGUGGUCAUGCACCUCCACUGUGGAUACCCUACAUAUCACCACCCAGAAUAGGAGAAAAUCACUGUAUACUUGAGAAGUUUCGCUGUCGCUACGUGGAGUGACGUCUUAAUACCAGGCGUGGAACCAAUACUGGUAUGAUUACCUGGGAAGUAUCCCAUCUGCUCAUCAAGAGAAGUGUAAUGAAAAUAAUAGUUGUUCUGAUGAAGACCAACUCUUUUUGUAAUGUAACAGGUGAUGUUAUACUGAUGUGUUUGGUGUUAUACUGAGAAGGAAUGACCGAGGUAAGGAGGUCAAUGAUUGUUAUGAGGAAUGAGUAUGUUAAUGAUACGCAAUUAAUGUAAGACAUAUUGAUGGGCAGUGUGACUAAAAUCAUAGUUGUUCUUCUGAGGAAGGCCAACUCUUCUUGUAUUUUGACGGGAUGCAAUGUGUUUUACAAGGAAUAAAUUAGUUAAGAUAU